GGCCGGUUGUUCAAAGGUGGGUUAGCGCUAGCCCUGGGUUAAAAUUUAACCUGCUGUUUUAGUUUGUGUAUUUCUGCACGUCUGUUUAUUUCAAAACUUCAGAGAAGUGAACUCCUAUCGAUCCAGACAAGAUCUCUGAAGAAAUAUUUCCAAAUUUAUAGACAAGCUGUCAGGAAGUUUGCUUUGAAUUUUAGGUUAACCUAGGGUUAAGCUAACCCAGCUUUGAACAA
Molecule: long non-coding RNA, 230 nt
Filed under: Paramuricea clavata
Lineage: Eukaryota; Metazoa; Cnidaria; Anthozoa; Malacalcyonacea; Plexauridae
Source: RNAcentral